Molecule: long non-coding RNA, 1562 nt
Organism: Acomys russatus (golden spiny mouse)
Lineage: Eukaryota; Metazoa; Chordata; Mammalia; Rodentia; Muridae
Exons: 3
Source: RefSeq, a predicted model, not a curated record
UGGGGGUGCUAAAGAAGCUACCACACUUCUCAAAAGGGAGUGAGGUUUUUUGCGAAAACCAGUGAACUAAUAUUGGUAAAAUUGGAGCCCCAUGGAUGAAGGGUACUUUCACCGAGAAUUUACCUUCUCCAGGCCCCACUCUGCACCUCAGAGUCAAGAGAGCUAGUCAAAGGUGGAAGAGAGCUACCUCAGAAGAUGCCAUCUGGAACCAGGUGUGCCCUAGAAUUGCUUUGAGCAUCAGGACUGCAAGGCUCUCAGCCCUCUGUGAGGUGCAGAUGACUGACAGGGAGGAAGUUGUUUUGGUUAAUAAUACAAUCUACUUGCCUCCUGUAGACACAGCAGUAGCUUACUAAUUCGUUAGAAGUGAUUUAAGGUUGUUUACUGAUGUUUUAAAGUAACUGUCAGAGUGAAAAAAAAAAGUUCACACUAAAUGAGACCACUCACCUACUUCAGAGUUGUUGUUUAUUUUAAGCUGAGUGUAUAAAUAAUAUAUUGAGAUCCGAAGGGUGAUUUCAAGCAUUAGAACGGGAAGCCUCCUGUUUACUAACUGUCAUUGGGCUGAAGAGAAUUUAAACAGCUCUGAACCUUUUUGUCUGUGGAUGCAAAGCAUGAAAUUAACUUUCAUUUCAUAGUUAGCAGAAAUCAUGAUGAGGUGUCUUGUUGUCCUGUCUCCUGCCCAUCUGGAUCUUUUUCUUUUUUCUAUGCAAGACAAGCCUUGGCAGCAGAAUGCCUUUUAUGUCUCCUUUCAAACAAGACCCCCUUACUUCUACCACAAAAUAAGCAGGGACCUGUCUGAACCAGUCAGUCAGCUUUCUCGGAUAGAAAGAGGCAGAGUGGAAAUAUGCUAGCCUGGCUUCCAGGGGUUCAAAUCCUGAGUGCUGGUGGGCCUGUCUGAACUCCCCUUCUCCAUUAGAAGGUUUGGAACAAUAGCAUCUACUCCCAUUGCUUUGUGGGAAGAUGGUGAAACUCCCAGGAGGUCGUUGUGAUAUGCCUUUAAGGGAUCGGGUGUCAUAGGUAAGUGACUUGGUAUCAAUUACUAAUACUGUUAAGGCUGGAUGCUAAAAUAUGGCUCAGUUUUAGGCGAAUUACAUGUACUGCCACAGGAACUGUUAAGAUCCAAAAAUCCUUCUGCCCCAAAGCCAAAGCACAGGCAAGUUACGUGGCUCGUCUCACCUGUACUGUGGUUAACUUCAAAUGUGAGGUCCUUAGGGUCCAGAGUCAGUGCCCUUUACUGUUACCUGUUGGGGAGGAAGGGCCGGUUUGGUUUUCCUCUGUGAGACUGUGCCUCUUACACACCAGGAAGUGAGACAUAUGUGCUAUCUAAAAGCCUGGACCACAUUCAGGCCGAGAAAAAUCCAAGGGCAGCUUCUUUAUCAUCGAGGAGGGCUCCCAUUGGAUAGGGAUGCAGCAGACUGUGUGGGUUAAUUAUGUUUUAUGUGUAAACAGCCUGAUGAUUCUUAGCUGAAAAGCUCUAAAUGAAAAGACCUAUUACUUGUAAUGAUUCCAGAAACAAGACAUUUGAUUCACUUUCUGUCCCCUUUAAACUCAAAAGUGUAAUAGCC